UUCGUCUGUGUGAGGGUCGGCUAGUGUCAAAACAAUCGCGUCGCUUGCUCUUGCGACGCGCUCUGGACCUUCGCGGCCGUAAAAUCCGGCGCUCACCGAAUCGCUCGCUCGGCGGUUUGCGUGUUGCGCCCGGUGGCCCCGUGGUCUUAAGCACAAGCCGCGCCGUUGUCCGUGUUCGUCUCGGGACGUCCGCGACGCCGCCUUGCUCUCGGCGGCGGCCAAAUUUCCUCUCCGUCACCGCUAUGCGGGACCCGGCUCGCUCUCGCUAACGGGCCCGCUUAUAACCAGCUUCAGGGUGACGGGCGGAGGAGAGAAGCUUACGCUGACGCUCGAUCGACGAGUCGGCGCCCGUACGAAAAAAAUUGGAAAAAAAAUAACCGUGCGUUGCGCGUUAUUUUUUUUUUUCCUUUCUUUCCGACCUCAGAUCGGACGAGAUUACCCCCUGAAUUUAAGCAUAGAAA
This 461-nucleotide unclassified non-coding RNA is filed under the name Ampullaceana balthica. RNAcentral describes it as "sequence contains ITS1, 5.8S rRNA gene, ITS2". Lineage: Eukaryota; Metazoa; Mollusca; Gastropoda; Lymnaeidae. The record is from RNAcentral.